Molecule: ribosomal RNA, 38 nt
Filed under: Larix laricina (tamarack)
Lineage: Eukaryota; Viridiplantae; Streptophyta; Pinopsida; Pinales; Pinaceae
Also listed under: 3 other names
Description: partial 26S ribosomal RNA
Source: RNAcentral
GCGACCCCAGCUCAGGCGAGAACACCCGCUGAGUUUAA